RNAcentral lists this ribosomal RNA (1443 nucleotides) under uncultured organism. RNAcentral describes it as "partial small subunit ribosomal RNA". It matches the Rfam family "Bacterial small subunit ribosomal RNA". The record is from RNAcentral.
GAACGCUGGCGGCGUGCUUAACACAUGCAAGUCGAACGGAAAGGCCCUGCUUUUGUGGGGUGCUCGAGUGGCGAACGGGUGAGUAACACGUGAGUAACCUGCCCUUGACUUUGGGAUAACUUCAGGAAACUGGGGCUAAUACCGGAUAGGAGCUCCUGCUGCAUGGUGGGGGUUGGAAAGUUUCGGCGGUUGGGGAUGGACUCGCGGCUUAUCAGCUUGUUGGUGGGGUAGUGGCUUACCAAGGCUUUGACGGGUAGCCGGCCUGAGAGGGUGACCGGCCACAUUGGGACUGAGAUACGGCCCAGACUCCUACGGGAGGCAGCAGUGGGGAAUAUUGCACAAUGGGCGGAAGCCUGAUGCAGCAACGUCGCGUGCGGGAUGACGGCCUUCGGGUUGUAAACCGCUUUCGCCUGUGACGAAGCGUGAGUGACGGUAAUGGGUAAAGAAGCACCGGCUAACUACGUGCCAGCAGCCGCGGUGAUACGUAGGGUGCGAGCGUUGUCCGGAUUUAUUGGGCGUAAAGGGCUCGUAGGUGGUUGAUCGCGUCGGAAGUGUAAUCUUGGGGCUUAACCCUGAGCGUGCUUUCGAUACGGGUUGACUUGAGGAAGGUAGGGGAGAAUGGAAUUCCUGGUGGAGCGGUGGAAUGCGCAGAUAUCAGGAGGAACACCAGUGGCGAAGGCGGUUCUCUGGGCCUUUCCUGACGCUGAGGAGCGAAAGCGUGGGGAGCGAACAGGCUUAGAUACCCUGGUAGUCCACGCUGUAAACGGUGGGUACUAGGUGUGGGGUCCAUUCCACGGGUUCCGUGCCGUAGCUAACGCUUUAAGUACCCCGCCUGGGGAGUACGGCCGCAAGGCUAAAACUCAAAGGAAUUGACGGGGCCCCGCACAAGCGGCGGAGCAUGCGGAUUAAUUCGAUGCAACGCGUAGAACCUUACCUGGGUUUGACAUGGAUCGGGAGUGCUCAGAGAUGGGUGUGCCUCUUUUGGGGUCGGUUCACAGGUGGUGCAUGGCUGUCGUCAGCUCGUGUCGUGAGAUGUUGGGUUAAGUCCCGCAACGAGCGCAACCCUUGUUCACUGUUGCCAGCACGUUAUGGUGGGGACUCAGUGGAGACCGCCGGGGUCAACUCGGAGGAAGGUGGGGAUGACGUCAAGUCAUCAUGCCCCUUAUGUCCAGGGCUUCACGCAUGCUACAAUGGCUGGUACAGAGAGUGGCGAGCCUGUGAGGGUGAGCGAAUCUCGGAAAGCCGGUCUCAGUUCGGAUUGGGGUCUGCAACUCGACCUCAUGAAGUCGGAGUCGCUAGUAAUCGCAGAUCAGCAACGCUGCGGUGAAUACGUUCCCGGGGCUUGUACACACCGCCCGUCAAGUCAUGAAAGUUGGUAACACCCGAAGCCGGUGGCCUAACCGUUGUGGGGGAGCCGUCGAAGGUGGGACUGGUGAUUAGGAC